Molecule: ribosomal RNA, 529 nt
Filed under: uncultured bacterium
Lineage: Bacteria
Description: partial 16S ribosomal RNA
Rfam family: Bacterial small subunit ribosomal RNA
Source: RNAcentral
UGGGGAAUAUUGCACAAUGGGCGCAAGCCUGAUGCAGCCAUGCCGCGUGUGUGAAGAAGGCCUCGGUUGUAAAGCACUUUCAGCGAGGAGGAAGGUGGUGAGCUUAAUACGCUCAUCAAUUGACGUUACUCGCAGAAGAAGCACCGGCUAACUCCGUGCCAGCAGCCGCGGUAAUACGGAGGGUGCAAGCGUUAAUCGGAAUUACUGGGCGUAAAGCGCACGCAGGCGGUUUGUUAAGUCAGAUGUGAAAUCCCCGGGCUCAACCUGGGAACUGCAUUUGAAACUGGCAAGCUAGAGUCUCGUAGAGGGGGGUAGAAUUCCAGGUGUAGCGGUGAAAUGCGUAGAGAUCUGGAGGAAUACCGGUGGCGAAGGCGGCCCCCUGGACGAAGACUGACGCUCAGGUGCGAAAAGCGUGGGGGCAGCAAAACAGGAUUAGAUACCCUGGUAGUCCACGCUGUAAACGAUGUCGAUUUUGGAGGUUGUGCCCUUGAGGCGUGGNUUCCGGAGCUAACGNGUUAAAUCGACCGCC